RNAcentral lists this ribosomal RNA (253 nucleotides) under uncultured bacterium. RNAcentral describes it as "partial 16S ribosomal RNA". It matches the Rfam family "Bacterial small subunit ribosomal RNA", at positions 524 to 776 of the family's 1533-position model. The record is from RNAcentral.
UACGUGGGGGGCAAGCGUUGUCCGGAUUUAUUGGGCGUAAAGCGCGUGUAGGCGGCCAGGUAGGUCCGCUGUGAAAACCCGAGGCUCAACCUCGGGACGUCGGCGGAAACCAUCUGGCUAGAGUCCGGAAGAGGAGAGUGGAAUUCCCGGUGUAGCGGUGAAAUGCGCAGAUAUCGGGAAGAACACCCGUGGCGAAGGCGGUUCUCUGGGACGGUACUGACGCUGAGACGCGAAAGCGUGGGGAGCGAACAGG